This 680-nucleotide long non-coding RNA is filed under the name Strongylocentrotus purpuratus (purple sea urchin). Its description in RNAcentral is "uncharacterized LOC115922270". Lineage: Eukaryota; Metazoa; Echinodermata; Echinoidea; Camarodonta; Strongylocentrotidae. The record is from RNAcentral.
AACAGUCAGCCCGCUGCACGCUCGCUAAUGAGCAUAUCGUGCGAGCGUUAUCGUGCGAUGGAAACAGCUCGAUGAAUAAUAUCCACAAACGAGAAGUUACGAGAUCGUGCGAGAAUACUGGAAGGGAUGACGUAGACUCUAUUUUCUCGCGCAUGCUCAGUUUUUGAGCAGCCAUGUUUGGGCGCUGAGAUGUACACAGGCCCUCAUAGAAGUUGUGACCCCUAGCCCUCCUCUUCCAAUUGACCCCCCCCCCCCUGAUCUUGACCUCAAGGAUGCAUCCUAGAAACAAGGUGCGGAGCUGUACACAGUCCUUCCUACAACUUGUAGAAGAUCCCGCACAGGCUUCACAACCAGACAUGUGACCCCUAGCCCUCUUCCAACUGAUCGCCCCCUUGAUCUUGACCUCAAGAUGCAACCUGGAAACAAAAUUAAGCAUUGUGAUUUUAUCACCAUGAGGGAUGAAGUAGAAAAUUCAGCCUGUACAUCACAUCAAUCGUUCUUGCUGCUGGGGUGAAGGAUAAGUUGGCUCCUUGGCCCCAUUUAUGUACUAUGAAAUCUAAUGCCCUUGUAGCUAUCAUUACGGAACGUAAUACCGAUAUCUAAAUGACAGACUGUAUUUGUAGUGGUUGCAGAAAAAAAUAUGUUAGAAAAUUGAAAAACCCAAAAGACACGUAAAAAAG